AACGAACGCUGGCGGCAUGCCUAACACAUGCAAGUCGAACGAGACCUUCGGGUCUAGUGGCGCACGGGUGCGUAACGCGUGGGAACCUGCCCUUAGGUUCGGAAUAACUCAGAGAAAUUUGAGCUAAUACCGGAUAAUGUCUUCGGACCAAAGAUUUAUCGCCUUUGGAUGGGCCCGCGUAGGAUUAGCUUGUUGGUGGGGUAAUGGCCUACCAAGGCGACGAUCCUUAGCUGGUCUGAGAGGAUGAUCAGCCACACUGGGACUGAGACACGGCCCAGACUCCUACGGGAGGCAGCAGUGGGGAAUAUUGGACAAGGGGCGAAAGCCUGAUCCAGCAAUGCCGCGUGAGUGAUGAAGGCCUUAGGGUUGUAAAGCUCUUUUACCAGGGAUGAUAAUGACAGUACCUGGAGAAUAAGCUCCGGCUAACUCCGUG
RNAcentral lists this ribosomal RNA (433 nucleotides) under uncultured bacterium. Its description in RNAcentral is "partial 16S ribosomal RNA". It matches the Rfam family "Bacterial small subunit ribosomal RNA", at positions 29 to 507 of the family's 1533-position model. The record is from RNAcentral.